This 1235-nucleotide long non-coding RNA is filed under the name Takifugu rubripes (torafugu). RNAcentral describes it as "lncRNA (ENSTRUG00000032314.1)". Lineage: Eukaryota; Metazoa; Chordata; Actinopteri; Tetraodontiformes; Tetraodontidae. The record is from RNAcentral.
ACAAUAAUGCAACUGUGCGCUGUGUUGACUGCUACCGAUAUACAUGUGGGAAAUGCCCAAAGGAGCAAUGGCAGUGCCAGGAUUGUGAGUGACUGCUCAAAUGUAUUUCACUCACAAUGCAUGGUUUUUCAUUCUUUGUAAAUAUGCUUGGGUUUCUUUUUCUUUUUUUUACUAUUUUUAGCACAAAAAUAACAAUUACUUCUGCAACAACCCUCCACACCAAAACUGGGAAAAAGUUGCUUUUUCAUUCUUUGUAAAUAUGUUUUGUUUUUUUAACAAUAAAUGUCAGUGUGUUGAUCCCUUCCUUCCUGUUGAUCCUUUCCACUGCAUACAGCUCAUAGUCCAGUUUAAGUCUUUAUGGCUAUGUUCACUGAGGUAUUUAUCCAUCUCACAACUAAAACUUGCUCUCAAAAGAACCUCCUGAGCUGUAAGGUAUGUCCCCUCCCCCACACAGGUUCAUGUGGCUCCGGCCGUGUGCCACUAACAGCCACAUUUCCAUAACAAAAUGAGUGUCCACAGGGGGGACUUGGGGCCAAUUGGCCGUCUUGUGGGUUUUCUAGGUAAAAAGGCCAAAUGACCGCUCUCUGGGACUUCUAGUGUUAAUGCAUCACUUAUGUGAGCAAUGACGGUGACGUAGCACCUGCUACGUGCUAGUGCUCUAUGAAGGAACAGGCUUUUGAGAUAUGAGAAGCUCCUGCUGGACUUCUGUUGUCAGUGAUACACGUAUUUGGAAAAAAUGUGCUUUCUUCAUGUGUGUUAACACAUCAGGAAAAGAUCAGCAGAUCUGCCGGGUGGAGCACGAAAAGAGAACGCUUACUGAGGAUCACGCGGACACCUUGGCCCUGCUGAGCAGCACGCAGGCUGCGCUCAAGCAGGAAAAACAAAGAAGUGCCCAUCUCCAAAAACAAUGCUGCAAGAAGCUGGCUGAUCAGAAGCUGAGACACCAAAUAGAGCUCAGGAAUCAAGAGGAGGGAUUCCGGAGGGAGGUCUGUGAAAACAUCACCAAACAGAUGGUGUCAGACCUCCCACAGUGUGAUGUGAUCGGAACUGAGACCAGGAGGAAGCCGGAAAAGAUCUCGGAGGAAAAGGAGACCUCCAACAGGAAGGAGAUCCAACUCCUGACCGAGAGAAUCGUCCAGCUGCAGCAAGUCCUCCGUGAAAAGGGAAAAAAGAAGAAACAAAAGACGAAGUUCAGUCUAAUGAAGUUCUUCUUUGGACGAAAAGAGACGAAAUAA